UACGUAGGGUGCGAGCGUUAAUCGGAAUUACUGGGCGUAAAGGGCGCGUAGGCGGUCUUCUAAGUCUUGUGUGAAAUCCCUCGGCUCAACUGAGGAACUGCACGGGAUACUGGAAGACUUGAGUUCGGGAGAGGGAAGCGGAAUUCCGGGUGUAGCGGUGAAAUGCGUAGAUAUCCGGAGGAACACCGGUGGCGAAGGCGGCUUCCUGGACCGAUUACUGACGCUGAGGCGCGAAAGCUAGGGGAGCAAACGGG
This 254-nucleotide ribosomal RNA is filed under the name uncultured bacterium. Its description in RNAcentral is "partial 16S ribosomal RNA". It matches the Rfam family "Bacterial small subunit ribosomal RNA", at positions 524 to 776 of the family's 1533-position model. The record is from RNAcentral.